UCUUGGUCAUUUAGAGGAAGUAAAAGUCGUAACAAGGUUUCCGUAGGUGAACCUGCGGAAGGAUCAUUAUUGAAACUCACGGGGGCGCGUGCUAAGACCUGCACCGGUGGCGACGCCGUGCUGCGGUCUGGCUUGCGUCCUCUUCCAAACCCAAACACCUGUGAACCUUUGGGAUGGCGUGCUGUAACGGCCGUCGUCCCGUUUAACACCAACUCUGAUGUCUAUUUGAAUGUGACUCGGGGCCUCCCCGAUUUAAACUUAAAACAACUUUCAACAACGGAUCUCUUGGCUCUCGCAUCGAUGAAGAACGCAGCGAAAUGCGAUAAGUAAUGUGAAUUGCAGAAUUCAGUGAAUCAUCGAAUCUUUGAACGCACCUUGCGCUCCUUGGUAUUCCGAGGAGCAUGCCCGUUUGAGUGUCUUGAAAUCAUCAAACCCCUCUGGUUUCUGCUGGAGCGGGUUUGGACUUGGGGGUUUUGCUGCCUCUGGCGGCUCCCCUUAAAUGAAUCGGUCGGGCUUUCGUGUGGCUUGUCCCUUGGCGUUGUAUCAACCUCGUCGCUGGAUGGCUCGCGAGCUUUAGCGCCCCUCCAAGACCAGCCUCUGGAGUGGCGGUCAACUUCAAUUUGUGAUCUGACCUCAAAUCAGGUAGGACUACCCGCUGAACUUAAGCAUAUCAAUAAGCGGAGGA
This 685-nucleotide ribosomal RNA is filed under the name uncultured fungus. Its description in RNAcentral is "eukaryotic LSU rRNA". The stretch from base 266 to 419 matches the Rfam family "5.8S ribosomal RNA". Lineage: Eukaryota; Fungi. The record is from RNAcentral.